Molecule: ribosomal RNA, 253 nt
Filed under: uncultured bacterium
Lineage: Bacteria
Description: partial 16S ribosomal RNA
Rfam family: Bacterial small subunit ribosomal RNA
Source: RNAcentral
UACGUAGGGUGCAAGCGUUGUCCGGAAUUAUUGGGCGUAAAGAGCUCGUAGGCGGUUUGUCGCGUCUGCUGUGAAAACUCGGGGCUUAACCCCGGGCCUGCAGUGGGUACGGGCAGACUAGAGUGCGGUAGGGGAGACUGGAAUUCCUGGUGUAGCAGUGAAAUGCGCAGAUAUCAGGAGGAACACCGGUGGCGAAGGCGGGUCUCUGGGCCGCAACUGACGCUGAGGAGCGAAAGCGUGGGGAGCAAACAGG